RNAcentral lists this ribosomal RNA (253 nucleotides) under uncultured bacterium. RNAcentral describes it as "partial 16S ribosomal RNA". It matches the Rfam family "Bacterial small subunit ribosomal RNA", at positions 524 to 776 of the family's 1533-position model. The record is from RNAcentral.
UACGUAGGGUGCGAGCGUUGUCCGGAAUUAUUGGGCGUAAAGGGCUCGUAGGCGGUCUGUUGCGUCGGUAGUGAAAACUCAGGGCUUAACCCUGAGCCUGCUUCCGAUACGGGCAGACUAGAGGUAUGCAGGGGAGAACGGAAUUCCUGGUGUAGCGGUGAAAUGCGCAGAUAUCAGGAGGAACGCCGGUGGCGAAGGCGGUUCUCUGGGCAUUACCUGACGCUGAGGAGCGAAAGUGUGGGGAGCGAACAGG